RNAcentral lists this long non-coding RNA (208 nucleotides) under Mytilus galloprovincialis (Mediterranean mussel). Lineage: Eukaryota; Metazoa; Mollusca; Bivalvia; Mytilida; Mytilidae. The record is from RNAcentral.
ACGAUUGCCAUGUUUUUAGCAGAGAUUAAAUGAUAAGGAAGAAAGCAACUAAAGGUUCUGUAUGGCCUUUAACAAUGACAAAAACAUGGCCAAUAGUAUUUGCAAUACCUUAUAGCUAAAAGGCACUGGAAAUGUUAAUGACAAAUGUAAAAAGAAUCAAACAAGAACCGACAACAUUCAUGUAAAUUAACCAAAUAUUGAAAACAGC